This 101-nucleotide small nucleolar RNA is filed under the name Carlito syrichta (Philippine tarsier). Its description in RNAcentral is "Small nucleolar RNA U109 (ENSTSYG00000020677.2)". It matches the Rfam family "Small nucleolar RNA U109". The record is from Rfam by way of RNAcentral. Lineage: Eukaryota; Metazoa; Chordata; Mammalia; Primates; Tarsiidae.
AACCAUAAUAAAAAAUAUUGAUUAUGGAAAAAAAAAAAGGAGUUGUCAGGGCUGCCAACCUUACAGUAGAGGUUGAGUGGUAGUAUAUUACUCCUAUAUAA